RNAcentral lists this ribosomal RNA (425 nucleotides) under uncultured bacterium. RNAcentral describes it as "bacterial SSU rRNA". It matches the Rfam family "Bacterial small subunit ribosomal RNA", at positions 356 to 773 of the family's 1533-position model. The record is from RNAcentral.
GGGGGAUAUUGCACAAUGGAGGAAACUCUGAUGCAGCAAUGCCGCGUGUGUGAAGAAGGCCUUCGGGUUGUAAAGCACUUUUGUCCGGAAAGAAAUCCUUGGCUCUAAUACAGUCGGGGGAUGACGGUACCGGAAGAAUAAGCACCGGCUAACUACGUGCCAGCAGCCGCGGUAAUACGUAGGGUGCGAGCGUUAAUCGGAAUUACUGGGCGUAAAGCGUGCGCAGGCGGUUUGCUAAGACCGAUGUGAAAUCCCCGGGCUCAACCUGGGAACUGCAUUGGUGACUGGCAGGCUAGAGUAUGGCAGAGGGGGGUAGAAUUCCACGUGUAGCAGUGAAAUGCGUAGAGAUGUGGAGGAAUACCGAUGGCGAAGGCAGCCCCCUGGGCCAAUACUGACGCUCAUGCACGAAAGCGUGGGGAGCAAAC